Mycena epipterygia is the source of this 97-nucleotide non-coding RNA. NCBI's taxonomy places the organism in Eukaryota, Fungi, Basidiomycota, Agaricomycetes, Agaricales, Mycenaceae. The record is from the annotation of a GenBank genome assembly.
GUCCUCGUGGAGUAGUGCAGCUCACUCCCACCUGCUAAUGGAGGCCAGAAUAGCUGGAUUUCAGGGAUAGGAGGUGGUUCGAAUCCGCCCGAGGACA